Long non-coding RNA from Salvia splendens (bonfire salvia), 1668 nucleotides. RefSeq lists it as uncharacterized. The transcript is spliced from 2 exons. Lineage: Eukaryota; Viridiplantae; Streptophyta; Magnoliopsida; Lamiales; Lamiaceae. The record is from RefSeq and is a predicted model, not a curated record.
AAGCAUAAAUACAGCUCCUUCUCUUCUCCUUCAGAUAUCUCCAGCUGCUCUCCUCCACCGCUCUUCUUCACUGGUCGCUCCGCCCUCCGCCAGCUCCAAUUGCAUAUUUAGGUUUUCUAAUCUCUGUUUUUCCAAAUUCGUUUUUGUUUUCUGCAAUUUAUUUUUUGGCAAAAUGUAUGCAGAGAUGAAGCAAAUUUUCGUGGACUAGAGUUUCUGAUCUUGUAUUUGACGAAACAACCCUUGGCUGUCUGAGCAUACAACUUGUUUAAUUUUCUGGAAAUUUCUCUUCAAUUUGCUACCUAUCUCUAAUUUGUGUGUGGUGAUGAUGCAAUUUUUCGUGGAUUAGAGUUUCUGAUCUUGCAUUUGACGAAACAACCCUUGGCUGUCUGAGCACACUCUUCAAUUCAGUCGUUUCAGCUCUUAAUUUCUCAUUUACUUUGGCUUAUGAUGAAAAAAUAAUUAUCUUAGCGGAUUUCAGUGAGGUUAUGAUUUUUAUCACCAUCAAUGAUCUGAUUGUUACACACACUGAAGCCUUUCCCAAAAUCAGUUCCUUUUUAUCCAGUUUUUGCUAUGAUGAGAUAAAGCACAAGCUCUGUGUUUGAGGCAGUGGAUUCCGAUCCGUGAGCUUUCUAAAUUAACGACUUCUCCUUCCACUGAGAAAAUUUUUUCUCCAAAAUCUCCAAUUUCACGCGUCCAUUACCAAUACCGGUUGAUUAAUCCAUUCCUCUCGGUUUAAUGGCACGGACGCAACAUUCAAUUUGUGGCUAUCCUGAUUGGCGUUGCGUUGAUUGGCAUUCCAAUUUACGUGUCACGGGAAGCAUAAAUCGAUUUCGUAGCUUUAAUGUCACUUUCGGUGAAAUAAGCAGGUUUUGAGUUCAUCUUAGCUUGCUUUUUUGGUGGCUUUGCUUCAACACUUUUUUUCCCCAAUUUGUUGCUUCAUAUGGUGAGCUUCUUCAAUUGAAGUGAGGAUUGCUCUAGUUUCCGAAGCAUAGAUCAAACCCAGUAGUAUUAAACAGUUUGAUGUCAAUUUUUUUUCAUGGCAUCAAACUACCUGUCUCCUCCUACAUCGAUAUCAAUAGCUUAAUUUUAUAUCUUUACCAAUGAGGAAGAAAUCCCAAGAAUAGGAAGUGCCGUAUGACACUUUAAAAUGCACCGUUUUGAGCCGUUAGCCGCUUCCAUCCACCGCCACCGAUUGUCGGCCUAUGUGGCAUUGCAAUCGGUGCUCGGUCCGGGGCGGUGGCUCUGCCGCUGUGUGGUUGAUUUGAAACGGGACUCUGAGGGUUUAAAGAUUGAAUUUUUAUCUCUGUUUUUGUAUUAAUUUUCUCCGCCGUCGGUUCGAUGCCACGUCGUCGGUAGCAGCAGCGAUGACCGUCGAUGUCAUGAUUGAACCAAUAACGAACGCUUUCGCAUCUUGAUAGGAAUCUGUGGAUCGAUCUUGACCGUUCGUCCAUGGAGCCGUUUUGUGCGAUUACAGUUUUAUCAUAUUUUACUUUUUUUUAGAAAUUGGUUGCUUGACCAAGACAAUAAACAGAAGUGAUGUACCCAGAUUUACCAGAUCUUUAUUAUAUAGUGGUCGUAGUAAUAUUCACAUACAUUUUUGUUAUGUUUCUUUCUUGAGGAUGCAUUGCUGUAAAAUAAUUUUAUGUGAGUGUUAUUUUUUUCCAAUUA